GUANGUGAACCUGCGGAAGGAUCAUUA
This 27-nucleotide ribosomal RNA is filed under the name Russula decolorans. RNAcentral's name for it is "partial 18S ribosomal RNA". The record is from RNAcentral. Lineage: Eukaryota; Fungi; Basidiomycota; Agaricomycetes; Russulales; Russulaceae.